This 497-nucleotide ribosomal RNA is filed under the name uncultured bacterium. Its description in RNAcentral is "partial 16S ribosomal RNA". It matches the Rfam family "Bacterial small subunit ribosomal RNA", at positions 28 to 507 of the family's 1533-position model. The record is from RNAcentral.
GAUGAACGCUGGCGGCGUGCCUAAUACAUGCAAGUAGAACGCUGAAGCUUGGUGCUUGCACCGAGCGGAUGAGUUGCGAACGGGUGAGUAACGCGUAGGUAACCUGCCUCUUAGCGGGGGAUAACUAUUGGAAACGAUAGCUAAUACCGCAUAAAAGUCGAUAUCGCAUGAUAUUGAUUUGAAAGGUGCAAAUGCAUCACUAAGAGAUGGACCUUCGUUGUAUUAGCUAGUUGGUGAGGUAACGGCUCACCAAGGCGACGAUACAUAGCCGACCUGAGAGGGUGAUCGGCCCAACUGGGACUGGGACACGGCCCAGACUCCUACGGGAGGCAGCAGUAGGGAAUCUUCGGCAAUGGGGGCAACGCUGACCGAGCAACGCCGCGUGAGUGAAGAAGGUUUUCGGAUCGUAAAGCUCUGUUGUAAGAGAAGAACGAGUGUGAGAGUGGAAAGUUCACACUGUGACGGUAACUUACCAGAAAGGGACGGCUAACUACGUG